AAUCAACGCUGGCGGCGUGCCUAACACAUGCAAGUCGCACGAGAAAGGGGAGCAAUCCCUGAGUAAAGUGGCGCACGGGUGAGUAACACGUGAAUCAUCUACCUCCGAGUGGGGAAUAACUGAGAGAAAUCUUAGCUAAUACCGCAUAACACUUACGAGUCAAAGCAGCAAUGCGCUUGGAGAGGAGUUCGCGGCCGAUUAGUUAGUUGGCGGGGUAAUGGCCCACCAAGACGAUGAUCGGUAUCCGGCCUGAGAGGGCGCACGGACACACUGGAACUGAAACACGGUCCAGACUCCUACGGGAGGCAGCAGUGGGGAAUUUUGCGCAAUGGGGAAACCCUGACGCAGCAACGCCGCGUGGA
RNAcentral lists this ribosomal RNA (362 nucleotides) under uncultured bacterium. RNAcentral describes it as "bacterial SSU rRNA". It matches the Rfam family "Bacterial small subunit ribosomal RNA", at positions 32 to 405 of the family's 1533-position model. The record is from RNAcentral.